Molecule: ribosomal RNA, 558 nt
Filed under: Yponomeuta irrorellus
Lineage: Eukaryota; Metazoa; Arthropoda; Insecta; Lepidoptera; Yponomeutidae
Description: partial 16S ribosomal RNA
Rfam family: Archaeal large subunit ribosomal RNA (bases 411-558)
Source: RNAcentral
CGCCUGUUUAUCAAAAACAUGUCUUUUUGAUUAAUAAUUUAAAGUCUGGUCUGCCCACUGAUUAAAAUAAUUAAAGGGCUGCAGUAUUUUGACUGUACAAAGGUAGCAUAAUAAUUAGUCUUUUAAUUGAUGACUUGUAUGAAUGAUCGAAUAAAAUAUAAUCUGUCUCUUAAUAAAUUUAUAGAAUUUAAUUUUUUAUUUAAAAAGUUAAAAUAAUUUUAAAAGACGAGAAGACCCUAUAGAGUUUAAUAAUUUUAUAAAUUAAAAUUAUAUAUAUAAAUUUAAUUAAAAAUUAUAUAAUUAUUUUAUUGGGGUGAUAAAAAAAUUAAUAAAACUUUUUUUAAAUAUUAACAAAAAUAAUUGUAUAUUUGAUCCAAUUUAUUUUGAUUAUAAGAUUAAAUUACCUUAGGGAUAACAGCGUAAUUUUUUUUUUUAGUUCUUAUAAAAAGGAAAGCUUGCGACCUCGAUGUUGGAUUAAGAUAAAAUUUAAACGCAAAAGUUUAAAAUUUUGAUCUGUUCGAUCAUUAAAAUCUUACAUGAUCUGAGUUCAAACCGGAG